Molecule: ribosomal RNA, 549 nt
Filed under: uncultured Glomerales
Lineage: Eukaryota; Fungi; Glomeromycota; Glomeromycetes; Glomerales; Glomeraceae
Description: SSU rRNA
Rfam family: Eukaryotic small subunit ribosomal RNA
Source: RNAcentral
UUGGAGGGCAAGUCUGGUGCCAGCAGCCGCGGUAAUUCCAGCUCCAAUAGCGUAUAUUAAAGUUGUUGCAGUCAAAAAGCUCGUAGUUGAAUUUCGGGGUCAGUAGGUUGGUCAUGCCACUGGUAUGUACUGGCCUCACUGAUUCCUCCUUCCUGAUGAGCCGUAAUGCCAUUAAUUUGGUGUUGCGAGGAAUCUGGACUGUUACUUUGAAAAAAUUAGAGUGUUUAAAGCAGGCUAACGCUUGAAUACAUUAGCAUGGAAUAAUGAAAUAGGACGUUCGAUCUUAUUUUGUUGGUUUCUAAGAUUGACGUAAUGAUUAAUAGGGAUAGUUGGGGGCAUUAGUAUUCAAUUGUCAGAGGUGAAAUUCUUGGAUUUAUUGAAGACUAACUACUGCGAAAGCAUUUGCCAAGGAUGUUUUCAUUAAUCAAGAACGAAAGUUAGGGGAUCGAAGACGAUCAGAUACCGUCGUAGUCUUAACCAUAAACUAUGCCGACUAGGGAUCGGAUGAUGUUAAUUUUUUAAUGACUCAUUCGGCGCCUUACGGGAAAC